Molecule: ribosomal RNA, 468 nt
Filed under: uncultured bacterium
Lineage: Bacteria
Description: partial 16S ribosomal RNA
Rfam family: Bacterial small subunit ribosomal RNA
Source: RNAcentral
GACGAACGCUGGCGGCGUGCUUAACACAUGCAAGUCGAACGGACAGGCCCUGCUUUUGUUGGGUGCUCGAGUGGCGAACGGGUGAGUAACACGUGAGUAACCUGCCCUUGACUUUGGGAUAACUUCAGGAAACUGGGGCUCAUACCCGAUAUGAGCUCCUGCUGCAUGUUGGGGGUUGGAAAGUUUCGGCGGUUGGGGAUGGACUCGCGGCUUAUCCGCUUGUUUGUGUGGUAGUGGCUUACCAAGGGUUUGACGGGUAGCCGGCCUGAGAGGGUUACCGGCCACAUUGGGACUGAGAGACGGCCCAGACUGCUACGGGAGGCAGCAGGGGGGAAUAUUGCAGAAUGGGCGGAAGCCUGAUGCAGAAACGCCGCGUGCGGGAUGACGGCCUUCGGGUUGUAAACCGAUUUCGCCGGUGACGAAGAGUGAGUGACGGUAAUGGGUAAAGAAGCACCGGCUAACUACGUG